Molecule: ribosomal RNA, 253 nt
Filed under: uncultured bacterium
Lineage: Bacteria
Description: partial 16S ribosomal RNA
Rfam family: Bacterial small subunit ribosomal RNA
Source: RNAcentral
GGCGGAGGGUGCAAUCGUUGUUCGGAACUACUGGGCGUAAAGCGCGUGUAGGCGGCUCGCUAAGUCUGAUGUGAAAUCCCGGGGCUCACCCCCGGAAGUGCAUUGGAAACUGGCGAGCUCGAGUCCCGGAGAGGAGGGUGGAAUUCCUGGUGUAGCGGUGAAAUGCGUAGAUAUCAGGAGGAACACCGGUGGCGAAGGCGGCCCUCUGGACGGUGACUGACGCUGAGACGCGAAAGCGUGGGGAGCAAACAGG